UACGGAGGGUGCGAGCGUUAAUCGGAAUUACUGGGCGUAAAGCGCAUGCAGGCGGUCUGUUAAGCAAGAUGUGAAAACCCGGGGGCUCAACCUCGGAACAGCAUUUUUGAACUGGCAGACUAGAGUCUUGUAGAGGGGGGGUAGGAAUUUCAGGUGUAGCGGUGAAAAUGCGUAGAGAUCUGAAGGAAUACCCGGUGGCGAAGGCGGCCCCCCUGGACAAAAGACUGACGCUCAGAUGCGAAAGCGUGGGGGAGCAAAACAGGAUUAGAUACCCCGGUAGUCC
Molecule: ribosomal RNA, 283 nt
Filed under: uncultured bacterium
Lineage: Bacteria
Description: partial 16S ribosomal RNA
Rfam family: Bacterial small subunit ribosomal RNA
Source: RNAcentral